Molecule: ribosomal RNA, 805 nt
Filed under: metagenome
Description: bacterial SSU rRNA
Rfam family: Bacterial small subunit ribosomal RNA
Source: RNAcentral
AGAGUUUGAUCCUGGCUCAGGAUGAACGCUGACAGAAUGCUUAACACAUGCAAAUCUAUGUAAAUUAUUUAUGCUUGCAUAAAUAAGGAGCAUGGUGGACUGGUGAGUAACGUGUAAAGAACUUGCCUCUUAGACUGGGAUAACAAGUGGAAACGCUUGAUAAUACUAGAUAUUAUGAUACUAAGGCAUCUUGGUAACAUGAAAGGAUAAGAUUGCUAAGAGAGAGCUUUGCAUCCUAUUAGCUAGUUGGUGGGGUAAAGGCCUACCAAGGCGAUGAUAGGUAGCCGGCCCGAGAGGGUGAACGGCCACAAGGGGACUGAGAUACGGCCCUUACUCCUACGGGAGGCAGCAGUGGGGAAUAUUGGACAAUGGAGGGAACUCUGAUCCAGCAAUUCUGUGUGCACGAAGAAGGUUUUCGGAUUGUAAAGUGCUUUCAGUAGGGAAGAAGAAAGUGACGGUACCUACAGAAGAAGCGACGGCUAAAUACGUGCCAGCAGCCGCGGUAAUACGUAUGUCGCAAGCGUUAUCCGGAAUUAUUGGGCUUAAAGGGCAUCUAGGCGGUUUUUCAAGUCAGGGGUGAAAACUUAUGGCUCAACUAUAAGCUUGCCUUUGAAACUGAAAGACUAGAGUACUGGAAAGGUGGGUGGAACUACACGAGUAGAGGUGAAAUUCGUAGAUAUGUGUAGGAAUGCCGAUGAUGAAGAUAACUCACUGGACAGAAACUGACGCUGAAGUGCGAAAGCUAGGGGAGCAAACAGGAUUAGAUACCCUGGUAGUCCUAGCUGUAAACGAUGAUCACUGGGUG